Molecule: ribosomal RNA, 465 nt
Filed under: uncultured bacterium
Lineage: Bacteria
Description: partial 16S ribosomal RNA
Rfam family: Bacterial small subunit ribosomal RNA
Source: RNAcentral
GACGAACGCUGGCGGUGUGCUUAACACAUGCAAGUCGAACGGUAAGGCCCUUUCGGGGGUCCACGAGUGGCGAACGGGUGAGUAACACGUGAGUAACCUGCCCUCAUCUCUGGGAUAACAGUCGGAAACGGUUGCUAAUUCUGGCUAUGAGCCUGCAAGGCAUCUUGUGGGUUGGAAAGAUUUUUUGGUUGGGGAUGGACUCGCGGCCUAUCAGCUUGUUGGUGAGGUAGUGGCUCACCAAGGCUUCGACGGGUAGCCGGCCUGAGAGGGCGACCGGCCACAUUGGGACUGAGAGACGGCCCAAGCGGCUACGGGAGGCAGCAGUGGGGAAUAUUGCACAAGGGACGGAAGGCUGAUGCAGCAACGCCGCGGGCGGGAUGACGGCCUUCGGGUUGUAAACCGCUUGCAAUUGUGACGAAGCUUUUUGUGACGGUAGCAGUAGAAGAAGCACCGGCUAACUACGUG